GACGAACGCUGGCGGCGUGCUUAACACAUGCAAGUCGAGCGGUAAGGCCUCUUCGGGGGUACACGAGCGGCGAACGGGCGAGUAACACGUGGGUGACCUGCCCUCAGCUCUGGGAUAAGCCUGGGAAACUGGGUCUAAUACCGGACAUGUCCUUUCCUCGCAUGGGGUUUGGUGGAAAGUUUUUUCGGCUGGGGAUGGGCCCGCGGCCUGUCAGCUUGUUGGUGGGGUGAUGGCCUACCAAGGCGACGACGGGUAGCCGGCCUGAGAGGGCGACCGGCCACACUGGGACUGAGGCACGGCCCAGACUCCUACGGGAGGCAGCAGUGGGGAAUAUUGCGCGAUGGGCGGAAGCCUGACGCAGCGACGCCGCGUGGGGGAUGACGGCCUUCGGGUUGUAAACCUCUUUCGACCCCGACGGAUUUGGACGGUAGGGGUAGAAGAAGCACCGGCCAACUACGUG
Molecule: ribosomal RNA, 460 nt
Filed under: uncultured bacterium
Lineage: Bacteria
Description: partial 16S ribosomal RNA
Rfam family: Bacterial small subunit ribosomal RNA
Source: RNAcentral